This 503-nucleotide ribosomal RNA is filed under the name Phaeocystis antarctica. RNAcentral's name for it is "partial Bacterial small subunit ribosomal RNA". It matches the Rfam family "Bacterial small subunit ribosomal RNA", at positions 11 to 511 of the family's 1533-position model. The record is from RNAcentral. Lineage: Eukaryota; Haptophyta; Phaeocystales; Phaeocystaceae.
GUUUGAUCAUGGCUCAGAUUGAACGCUGGCGGCAGGCCUAACACAUGCAAGUCGAACGGAAACAUGUCUAGCUUGCUAGAUGAUGUCGAGUGGCGGACGGGUGAGUAAUGCCUGGGAAUUUGCCUUUGUGUGGGGGAUAACUAUUGGAAACGAUAGCUAAUACCGCAUAAUACCUACGGGUCAAAGGGGGCUUCGGCUCCCGCGCAAAGAGAAGCCCAGGUGAGAUUAGCUUGUUGGUGAGGUAAAGGCUCACCAAGGCGACGAUCUCUAGCUGUUCUGAGAGGAAGAUCAGCCACACUGGAACUGAGACACGGUCCAGACUCCUACGGGAGGCAGCAGUGGGGAAUAUUGCACAAUGGAGGAAACUCUGAUGCAGCCAUGCCGCGUGUGUGAAGAAGGCCUUCGGGUUGUAAAGCACUUUCAGUUGUGAGGAAAGGUUAGUAGUUAAUACCUGCUAGCUGUGACGUUAACAACAGAAGAAGCACCGGCUAACUCCGUGCCAG